GAUGAACGCUGGCGGCGUGCCUAAUACAUGCAAGUCGAGCGAAUGGAUUAAGAGCUUGCUCUUAUGAAGUUAGCGGCGGACGGGUGAGUAACACGUGGGUAACCUGCCCAUAAGACUGGGAUAACUCCGGGAAACCGGGGCUAAUACCGGAUAACAUUUUGAACCGCAUGGUUCGAAAUUGAAAGGCGGCUUCGGCUGUCACUUAUGGAUGGACCCGCGUCGAAUUAGCUAGUUGGUGAGGUAACGGCUAACCAAGGCAACGAUGCGUAGCCGACCUGAGAGGGUGAUCGGCCACACUGGGACUGAGACACGGCCCAGACUCCUACGGGAGGCAGCAGUAGGGAAUCUUCCGCAAUGGACGAAAGUCUGACGGAGCAACGCCGCGUGAGUGAUGAAGGCUUUCGGGUCGUAAAACUCUGUUGUUAGGGAAGAACAAGUGCUAGUUGAAUAAGCUGGCACCUUGUCGGUACCUAACCAGAAAGCCACGGCUAACUACGUGCCAGCAGCCGCCGUAA
Molecule: ribosomal RNA, 515 nt
Filed under: uncultured bacterium
Lineage: Bacteria
Description: partial 16S ribosomal RNA
Rfam family: Bacterial small subunit ribosomal RNA
Source: RNAcentral